AGUGGCGAACGGGUGAGUAAUGCAUCGGAACGUAUCCUGUAGUGGGGGAUAACCCCGAGAAAUCGGGGCUAAUACCGCGUACGUCCUACGGGAGAAAGCGGGGGAUCGCAAGACCUCGCGCUAUAGGAGCGGCCGAUGUCGGAUUAGCUAGUUGGCGGGGUAAAAGCCCACCAAGGCUACGAUCCGUAGCUGGUCUGAGAGGAUGAUCAGCCACACUGGGACUGAGACACGGCCCAG
RNAcentral lists this ribosomal RNA (237 nucleotides) under uncultured bacterium. RNAcentral describes it as "partial 16S ribosomal RNA". It matches the Rfam family "Bacterial small subunit ribosomal RNA", at positions 94 to 334 of the family's 1533-position model. The record is from RNAcentral.